CGGAGCUGUGAAAGUAUCAUUUCGCAACCCAACAGCCCUAGAACGAGGAUAAAAACUACCGUCUCAAGAAAGGAUACCUCUCCAAGUGAAGAAUUUUGUCUGGAACAGUUGGAAACCCGAAUUGCUAGUCUCAGUGAGUUAGGACCGAAUGCAGCUUCCUCUCCAAAAUCACAUUAUACAAUUUACAAUGGGUUGAACCAUUACACUCGAGAUGGCUCAAACAAUCUAUCAACUUUCAAAAUGCAGCUUGACAAACAAUCAACUAUUCCCAACAGCACCGUUAACUCAUUUUCACCCUCAUUGCACAAAAAACUCCAGAAUGGAAACAUUAAAAAGUCAAACAUUGACAUCAUGUCACGCAGCUACACAGAACAGUCGGUGAGAAACGACUUGAACGGAGUUAACUCUUUGAGCCGGUCCUUUUCAAAUGAACGACUCACCUCUGUGCCUCAUAAUUUAACCAAUGGUGAUGUUAACCGAAAUGACUUGGUCAGUGCACUGCAGGCAGAUGUAAAGAAGCUUAAAGACAAGACGAUUUACCAGAAUGUUCCAAAUCAAAAACGGUGUGUUCAAGAUGGUUUUGAGGAAGAAAAGCGGAAGAUAGAUAAUCUGGUUUAUGAAUUAAACAAGCUUGUAAACCAGCCUUCGAAAACUCCCAGUUUCUCGCCAAGCAAGCCGGAGAUGAGCAUACCAAAGGAGAAGAGUAAAUUCAUACUGCCGCUGGAUGAAAUUGACUCUGCAAUCACAGCCCAACGAAGGUCUUUGGACUUUGAUAAGGAUACAUUGAGGAAUGAGCGGCAGUCAAUGCUGAAAGAUUUGGUGGGGUUCAAAUCGAAGGUCCUUGAAAUUCGCCAGCAAGAAGAUGAGAUUCUGCGAGAGAUGGAGAUGGAAUGUGCGCUAUUGGAAGGAGAGUACAAGUCUGAAACUGGAGUGAUCAAAGCAGAGGAAGAAAGCUUGAGGGUACUGCAAGAAAAAUUGUCGAAUAUUGAGAAAGAAAUAGAAAAGUGCACUGCACAACAAGCAGAGAGUAAGCGAAAAUUGGAAGAAGAGCAGAAAUCUUUAAAUGAGUGA
RNAcentral lists this long non-coding RNA (1071 nucleotides) under Bemisia tabaci. RNAcentral's name for it is "lncRNA ENSASIAIIG000899". Lineage: Eukaryota; Metazoa; Arthropoda; Insecta; Hemiptera; Aleyrodidae. The record is from RNAcentral.